AAAAAACAUUUGUGGGGCCCAGCCCCGCAACCAUAUAUAACCGUCCGCCAGGCAGACUACAUUAUCCAAAAUUUCUAUCUUGCGCCAAGGAUAGUAAACUGAUUACAGGAAACAAAUAGUAAACUGAAGUGAAAUGAUGCGUUCCUUAAUCCAUACUGAGAGUUUGGUUUCAAUUGGAAUAUGUAUCGUGGCAAUUAUUUUACAAGUGAAGUAUCAUAUUGUGAAAAGUUUAGAACUCAAAUGAAGCAAAAGUAGCAGUUUCAGCAGAAAUUGUUUUGUUCCGAAGCAAAGAUAUCCACGGGGUGGUUCGCCCUAUUCUGAUAUUCACGACCGAGAAGGAUUGCCACAAUUUUCGAACGAAGGACAAUCAAAUG
Non-coding RNA from Durio zibethinus, 374 nucleotides. The record is from RefSeq and is a predicted model, not a curated record. NCBI's taxonomy places the organism in Eukaryota, Viridiplantae, Streptophyta, Magnoliopsida, Malvales, Malvaceae.